AUGUUCAUGAAACAGGCCGCGCUUAUCGCGCGGGGCCACUUUUUUUUUCCUCUCUAAUCUGGACCCAUCCCCACCGCCACCCUUUCACUUUUCUGUAUUUUUUUUUCAAUGCGCUGUUUGCGCUUAGCGUUUACACACCAUAAUUCCUUAUAAGCUUACAAUAUCGUUUCGACUCGCAAAAGCAGUGGAAAAACAAGAACUCGAUCGAGUUGUGUUUCAUAUAUCAAGUUUUAAUUCAGAGAAUAUUGUCGGGAUAUAUGUAAUUAUCUGUAAUUAUAAUUUAGUGGAGAUUAAAAACAAGCACAUUUAUUAAGCUUAGUGCCAUGCCUUUAAAAGCUUGCAAGUGUAUUUACUCUACCAGCUGUUUUUUCACCGUAGGGUGACUAAGUUCGAGUACUUUAAUUGCAGACAACCAGUUUACUGCAAGCGAGUUGCCGUCCCUGCUGCUGAGACUGCCCCCCUAGUGUGGAAGCCGCUUCGCCAAGCACACCCACAAGAAGGCCCACACCACCGUCACAGGUUUCACCAAGUGAUGCUGAGCCUGGUCCGAGCGGCCUCCAAUUUUCCAAGGAGGGCAGCAGCGCGGAGCAGAUGCAAGAAACGCCAAAAAAGUGGGCGAAGAAAACGCAGCUCUGUGCACACCCUUCGCACCAAAAAGAAGCUGCUAACACUUCACUCACGAAGUGAAAGGUACCGC
Molecule: long non-coding RNA, 697 nt
Organism: Rhipicephalus sanguineus (brown dog tick)
Lineage: Eukaryota; Metazoa; Arthropoda; Arachnida; Ixodida; Ixodidae
Exons: 3
Source: RefSeq, a predicted model, not a curated record